RNAcentral lists this long non-coding RNA (205 nucleotides) under Elaeis guineensis (African oil palm). RNAcentral's name for it is "long non-coding RNA (EGUI_LNC000197)". Lineage: Eukaryota; Viridiplantae; Streptophyta; Magnoliopsida; Arecales; Arecaceae. The record is from RNAcentral.
UAGUGCAUCAAACAUCUUUUCUAUUUUUCGAAUCAUGUCUCUACAACCAGAAGGUCAGGUCCACUCUCAAAUAGUAGUGGAUUAAGCCUUCUAAAUCUCUCAUAAUAUAACUCUAAAGAUAGUGCAAAUUGAAGAGCGACUUGUAUCUGCUGUUGUUAAAUAAGCUGGGCCACUACUUGAUAUACUCUAGUAAUGUCUGCCUGAG